CUACGUGCCAGCAGCCGCGGUAAUACGGAAGGUCCAGGCGUUAUCCGGAUUUAUUGGGUUUAAAGGGAGCGUAGGCUGGAGAUUAAGUGUGUUGUGAAAUGUAGACGCUCAACGUCUGAAUUGCAGCGCAUACUGGUUUCCUUGAGUACGCACAACGUUGGCGGAAUUCGUCGUGUAGCGGUGAAAUGCUUAGAUAUGACGAAGAACUCCGAUUACGAAGGCAGCUGACGGGAGCGCAACUGACGCUGAAGCUCGAAGGUGCGGGUAUCGAACAGGAUUAGAUACCCUGGUAGUCCGCACAGUAAACGAUGGAUGCCCGCUGUUGGUACCUGGUAUCAGCGGCUAAGCGAAAGCAUUAAGCAUCCCACCUGGGGAGUACGCCGGCAACGGUGAAACUCAAAGGAAUUGACGGGGGCCCGCACAAGCGGAGGAACAUGUGGUUUAAUUCGAUGAUACGCGAGGAACCUUACCCGGGCUUGAA
Molecule: ribosomal RNA, 481 nt
Filed under: uncultured bacterium
Lineage: Bacteria
Description: bacterial SSU rRNA
Rfam family: Bacterial small subunit ribosomal RNA
Source: RNAcentral